Molecule: small nuclear RNA, 156 nt
Filed under: Castor canadensis (American beaver)
Lineage: Eukaryota; Metazoa; Chordata; Mammalia; Rodentia; Castoridae
Description: U1 spliceosomal RNA (ENSCCNG00000009361.1)
Rfam family: U1 spliceosomal RNA
About the family: U1 is a small nuclear RNA (snRNA) component of the spliceosome (involved in pre-mRNA splicing). Its 5' end forms complementary base pairs with the 5' splice junction, thus defining the 5' donor site of an intron.
Source: Rfam by way of RNAcentral
ACACUUACCUAGCAGGGAGGUGCCAUGAUCACAAAGGAGAUUUUCCCAGGGUGAGAUGUUUCCAUUGUACUCCACAAGUGCUGACCCCUGUGAUUUCCCCAAAUGUGGAAAAGUUGACUGCAUAAUUUGUGACAGUGGGGGACUGCAUUUGCAAAA